AUGAACAGAACCAUCAUCUCCAGGGUUCACUGCAUGUUGUCCAAUGCUCGCAUGGACAAAUGUUUUUGGGCUGAAGCCGCCUCCACCGCCUUCUAUCUCAUCAACAGGUCACCAUCCAUUCCACUUAAUAAGAAAACUCCCAUCAAUGUAUGGUUUGGUACACCGGCUGAUUAUUCACAGUUGAGAGUUUUCGGUUGCACCACAUAUGCACAUGUUCAUAAUGGAAAACUUGAGCCUAGAGCUCUUAGGUGUGCGUUUGUUGGUUACGGUUCAGGAGUAAAAGGAUACAUGUUAUGGAUCCUGGAACUUUUAAGGUUUUUGUGA
RNAcentral lists this ribosomal RNA (324 nucleotides) under Triticum aestivum (bread wheat). RNAcentral describes it as "partial small subunit ribosomal RNA". The record is from RNAcentral. Lineage: Eukaryota; Viridiplantae; Streptophyta; Magnoliopsida; Poales; Poaceae.